GAGCCAAACCUGCAUCUUCUGGAAGAACAAUAAGUGUUCUUAACUGCUGAGCCAUCUUUAUCUCCCAAACAGUGAUAGUCUAUGACCAUUGUUUUUCCUUUGUUUUGAGGUAGGGACUCACACUGCAGUUCUGGUUGUCCUGGAAUUCAGUAGGAAUCUGACUGCCUCUGCCUCCGAAGAGCUGAGAUUAAAAGGCUUGUGUACCACAACCAUUGCUAAUUUAAGAUACUUCCCCUCACCUCUAGUCCUUGAACAUCUAGGGCUUCACUGUCUGACUCCAUUUCAGCUGAGCCAUCACUGCUCUGCUUUCCAUCUCAUUCUGAGAGCAAUUGUACUCUGUUCUGGCUACUGAAGGCUUUGCCACCUGCGUAAACGUUGAACACUUGUUGCAAGCGCAAGAAUUCAGUCCUCAAGCUUGGUGAGGUAGCCAUCAUCUAGUUCAUAGCCUAAUUUUUUUUAACUUGAUUUAUUUAAAAUAUGAAUGCUCUGCUGCAUAUACAUCCUCAGGCCAGAAGAGGGCAUCAGAUCCCAUUAUGGAUGGUUGUGAGCCACCAUGUGGUUGCUGGGAAUUAAACUCAGGACCUCUGGAAGAGUAGUUAGUGCUCUUAACCGCUGAGCCAUCUCUCCAGCCCAGUACAUUUCUUUAGAUUCUUGGAAGCAAAUCAUUGGAGCGCAGUCAGAGCUCUUGACUGCUGAGCCCCUCAUCUCCUAAUUUUUAAUGGCUCAGUUCAUACUCAGUUGUGGUGAAAGGUCUUUCAUGUAGGUAAUUUUAGCACUGACAGUCACACAGACCUUUUUUUUUUUUCUCAGUUGUCAUCAUUGCAUGCAUUAGACAAAGAGGAAUGUGAGUAUUGCUAGGAAUGCCUCGAGUCAGUCCUGGUAUCUUGAUCCUAGGAAAAUGUUAGAUGGGACCUGUGAUCAGAGUUCUGGUUUGAAGGUCAAUUGGCAUACAUGUGAAUGAAUCCUUACCUAUAAGGAAAAACUUUUUCUUAAAGAAGUUCAAAACCUUUCUGUUUAAUCUUUGUAUUUUCUAGAGAAAACAUGUAUUGCAGGCAAAAAAUAGAAUAAACUGUUCUC
RNAcentral lists this long non-coding RNA (1077 nucleotides) under Mus musculus (house mouse). RNAcentral describes it as "long non-coding RNA chr3:89030584-89031661". Lineage: Eukaryota; Metazoa; Chordata; Mammalia; Rodentia; Muridae. The record is from RNAcentral.